This 253-nucleotide ribosomal RNA is filed under the name uncultured bacterium. RNAcentral describes it as "partial 16S ribosomal RNA". It matches the Rfam family "Bacterial small subunit ribosomal RNA", at positions 524 to 776 of the family's 1533-position model. The record is from RNAcentral.
UACGGGGGGGACGAGCGUUGUUCGGAUUUACUGGGCGUAAAGGGCGCGUAGGCGGAUUGAUAAGUCAGAUGUGAAAUACCAAAGCUCAACUUUGGUGCUGCAUUUGAAACUGUCUCUCUAGAGGAUUGACGGAGAAAGGGGAAUUCCACGUGUAGCGGUGAAAUGCGUAGAUACGUGGAGGAACACCGGUGGCGAAAGCGCCUUUCUAGUUUAUACCUGACGCUGAGGCGCGAGAGCAAGGGGAGCAAACAGG